This 253-nucleotide ribosomal RNA is filed under the name uncultured bacterium. RNAcentral describes it as "partial 16S ribosomal RNA". It matches the Rfam family "Bacterial small subunit ribosomal RNA", at positions 524 to 776 of the family's 1533-position model. The record is from RNAcentral.
UACGUAGGCAGCAAGCGUUGUUCGGAAUUACUGGGCGUAAAGCGUGCGCAGGCGGUUGUGCAAGACAGAUGUGAAAUCCCCGGGCUCAACCUGGGAAUUGCAUUUGUGACUGCACGGCUAGAGUGUGUCAGAGGGGGGUAGAAUUCCACGUGUAGCAGUGAAAUGCGUAGAUAUGCGGAGGAACACCGAUGGCGAAGGCAAUCCCCUGGGCCUGCACUGACGCUCAUGCACGAAAGCGUGGGGAGCAAACAGG